AACGAACGCUGGCGGCAUGCCUAACACAUGCAAGUCGAACGAGACCUUCGGGUCUAGUGGCGCACGGGUGCGUAACGCGUGGGAACCUGCCCUUAGGUUCGGAUAACUCCCCGAAAGGGGUGCUAAUUCCGGAUAAUGUCUUCGGACCAAAGAUUUAUCGCCUUUGGAUGGGCCCGCGUUGGAUUAGCUAGUUGGUAGGGUAAAAGCCUACCAAGGCGACGAUCCAUAGCUGGUCUGAGAGGAUGAUCAGCCACACUGGGACUGAGACACGGCCCAGACUCCUACGGGAGGCAGCAGUGGGGAAUAUUGGACAAUGGGCGAAAGCCUGAUCCAGCAAUGCCGCGUGAGUGAUGAAGGCCUUAGGGUUGUAAAGCUCUUUUACCCGGGAUGAUAAUGACAGUACCGGGAGAAUAAGCUCCGGCUAACUCCGUG
This 432-nucleotide ribosomal RNA is filed under the name uncultured bacterium. RNAcentral's name for it is "partial 16S ribosomal RNA". It matches the Rfam family "Bacterial small subunit ribosomal RNA", at positions 29 to 507 of the family's 1533-position model. The record is from RNAcentral.